RNAcentral lists this ribosomal RNA (511 nucleotides) under uncultured bacterium. RNAcentral describes it as "bacterial SSU rRNA". It matches the Rfam family "Bacterial small subunit ribosomal RNA", at positions 28 to 521 of the family's 1533-position model. The record is from RNAcentral.
GACGAACGCUGGCGGCGUGCCUAAUACAUGCAAGUUGAGCGCUGAAGGUUGGUACUUGUACCGACUGGAUGAGCAGCGAACGGGUGAGUAACGCGUGGGGAAUCUGCCUUUGAGCGGGGGACAACAUUUGGAAACGAAUGCUAAUACCGCAUAAAAACUUUAAACACAAGUUUUAAGUUUGAAAGAUGCAAUUGCAUCACUCAAAGAUGAUCCGCGUUGUAUUAGCUAGUUGGUGAGGUAAAGGCUCACCAAGGCGAUGAUACAUAGCCGACCUGAGAGGGUGAUCGGCCACAUUGGGACUGAGACACGGCCCAAACUCCUACGGGAGGCAGCAGUAGGGAAUCUUCGGCAAUGGACGAAAGUCUGACCGAGCAACGCCGCGUGAGUGAAGAAGGUUUUCGGAUCGUAAAACUCUGUUGGUAGAGAAGAACGUUGGUGAGAGUGGAAAGCUCAUCAAGUGACGGUAACUACCCAGAAAGGGACGGACUAACUACGUGCCAGCAGCCGCGGU